GACGAACGCUGGCGGCGUGCUUAACACAUGCAAGUCGAACGGAAAGGCCUUUUCGGAGGUACUCGAGUGGCGAACGGGUGAGUAACACGUGGGUGAUCUGCCCUGCACUCUGGGAUAAGCCUGGGAAACUGGGUCUAAUACCGGGUAGGACCGCACUUUAGUGUGUGUGGUGGAAAGUUUUUUCGGUGUAGGAUGAGCCCGCGGCCUAUCAGCUUGUUGGUGGGGUAAUGGCCUACCAAGGCGGCGACGGGUAGCCGGACUGAGAGGUUGGUCGGCCACAUUGGGACUGAGAUACGGCCCAGACUCCUACGGGAGGCAGCAGUGGGGAAUAUUGCACAAUGGGCGCAAGCCUGAUGCAGCGACGCCGCGUGGGGGAUGACGGCCUUCGGGUUGUAAACUCCUUUCGCCAGGGACGAAGCGUUUUGUGACGGUACCUGGAGAAGAAGCACCGGCUAACUACGUG
RNAcentral lists this ribosomal RNA (463 nucleotides) under uncultured bacterium. Its description in RNAcentral is "partial 16S ribosomal RNA". It matches the Rfam family "Bacterial small subunit ribosomal RNA", at positions 28 to 507 of the family's 1533-position model. The record is from RNAcentral.